RNAcentral lists this ribosomal RNA (372 nucleotides) under uncultured prokaryote. RNAcentral describes it as "bacterial SSU rRNA". It matches the Rfam family "Bacterial small subunit ribosomal RNA", at positions 524 to 896 of the family's 1533-position model. The record is from RNAcentral.
UACGUAGGGUGCGAGCGUUAAUCGGAAUUACUGGGCGUAAAGCGUGCGCAGGCGGUUCGUUAAGUCUGAUGUGAAAGCCCCGGGCUCAACCUGGGAAUGGCAUUGGAAACUGGCGAGCUGGAGUGCGGCAGAGGGGGGUGGAAUUCCGCGUGUAGCAGUGAAAUGCGUAGAGAUGCGGAGGAACACCGAUGGCGAAGGCAGCCCCCUGGGCCGACACUGACGCUCAGGCACGAAAGCGUGGGGAGCAAACAGGAUUAGAUACCCUGGUAGUCCACGCCCUAAACGAUGUCGACUAGGUGUUGGGAGAGAGAUCUCUUGGUACCGUAGCUAACGCAUGAAGUCGACCGCCUGGGGAGUACGGCCGCAAGGUUA